Long non-coding RNA from Capsicum annuum, 3291 nucleotides. RefSeq lists it as uncharacterized. The transcript is spliced from 3 exons. The record is from RefSeq and is a predicted model, not a curated record. Lineage: Eukaryota; Viridiplantae; Streptophyta; Magnoliopsida; Solanales; Solanaceae.
AAAACAUUAUAUUCUCUCCGACGUAUUAAACUCUCCCCCCAAUUUCUAAUUAGAUGGAAAAAAAUAGUAAACCGAUAUACUCAGCUCUAAUUUCACAAAUAUACUCAGCUUUAAUCCCUCGUCACUGCCCAAAUCCCUCGCAAGCUUGCAAUAAGAUCAACUCAGGUACCUAUUUAUUCUAUCCUUACUAAUCUCUAAUCUAAUUAAAACGUAAUUGAUGGUGAGGGUAACAUCAGACUCCAUACAAAGAUUGAGAGGCUUGAAGAUGGGUUCCAAUUCAUUGAAUAGCUAACGGUUCAAUAUAGCCUAGGUACCUGUUUCUUCUUUCAAUAGAGCUCACAAUUUCUCCCUAAUUCCUCUUUGUUACAACAAUCUAUGAUGUUACAAUUGGAAAUUUUGACGCUUUAGUUGGGAAUUUUACACGUAUUUCAGUUCUCGUCAGUUUCAGUCAUUGAAAUUUCCCUGAAGCUUCAUCACACGGAAGGGUUUUGCUGGAAUAAAGAUUAUUAGGUAGAACUUUAUUAUUGCAUAUAGGUUUAUUUCAUGUCUAUUUUUAUCAAGAAUGAUAAGCUUUCUAGGUACAUUGUGUAUCGAAAGUGUUGUACAUUUUUUAAGAUGGGUGAAAUCCAUUUUGAAUUGAGUUUUGAUGUUUCUAGAGAUGAUAAUUAUACAGGUUAGCUAGAAAGGGUAAAUUUUGACCUGUAGCUCAUCUUACUUUGCCAAAAUUGUGUUGAUGGGUAUUUGUUUAUGAAACUAAACGAUGAUAGAGCACGCCUUGAAUCAUAUGCCUUGUCAACGUUAGUUCAAUACACUUGUACCUUUAGUUUCAUGGAUUCACGAGGCAAUUUCUCCUACAAAAGUAGCAAUCAUAAAACAUAUACAUGAACAGAUCUUGUACCCCGUUUUAAAAACCAUCAGAUAAUAGUCUGCUUUUUAAUUCUAUUUUUUAUCCCAUAAAAUCUUGAAAUCUUCACUUUAUAAUGUUUUUCCAAAUUUGGCUACAAAGGUUACAAUGACUUUGUAAUUAUUACUUUUGUAUUGUAGAAUCAUUACCUGUCUCGAUAGUCUUUUCGCAAGUAUAUGGUCUUCUGGAAUGACGAAUGAACUAACUUAUGAAGGUUUUAGGUUAUGUUCCUCGGGCUCUUCAAAAUGUCAUUGGGUAUAUGUUGGAACCUUCAAAAGUUGUGCACUAUUGAAGGAUCCAACACGGGUGCGACCACAUUUUUGAAGAGUCUGAACAACUUAGGUUUUAGGUAAUUUUUAUGUUAAGUGUAUGCCAUUGCUAUAUAGCUAAUCCAAGUUAGUUAGAGGUUUCAUUUGGUAGCUUUACUUUAAACUUUACCAAAUGCUCAAAUGCUUAAUGUGCACGUAAUAGUCGACUUUGCCAAGGAAUGUUUUACACGUCUCUUGCAUUUAUAGCAAGAAUUCGGGACAGAUAGAAGGUGGUCUUACUAUGAGAACUAGUUUUUUUUUAGGAACCAAAAUAGUUUUCUUAGAGAUCUUGAUCUGCAGCUUAAUAUUCUUUACCCUUCUAAUUUGGCAUAAAUUAUGUUGCCACAUAUUGUCAAAAUCUGAGCAGCAAAUUAGUUAAUCAUUAUAUGAUGUUUUGGUUAUCAAUGAUUGUCUAUGAUUUAGUCUUUCUCUAUUAUAUAGAAUUUGCGAGUUUUCUCUCAAAGGUUGUAAAGUCCGAUCUGGUUUUUGUAACAACAUGUGGAAAAAAUGAAUUAUUUUAAAAUCUGGGAACUUGUAUUAUUUGUGAAAAGAUCUUUGCAGGUGGUAUUCUCUCAAAGGUUAUUAAUUAUGUCAUCAUAAGCUGUAUUUUGCUCAACAAAGGGAAUUUCUUGAUUUACUUCUAGGGGAAAUAUUUAUUUUACUUUUUACCUUUCCACUUCUACUACUUAACUCUUUCAUUGAUCUUCUUGUCUUAUGUUUAUCAGUGAAAUUAACAAUAGCAUUGUACCCAACAUGUUUAUCAGUGACAAUGUCUUACAUAAUCUUUUGUUAUUGGAACAUAUAUUACUCACUGAAUUUACACUUGAUUUCAUUUAUUACAUUGGAAUGACUUGUACUAUGUAUUGCUUUACUUGUUCUAACAUUUUCUAAAUGUCAUAAUAUAUGCAUGAUUCAAAAUUAUUAUCUUGGUGAACUAUUGAUUUUCAAUUAUUUGUUUAUUUAGUUUAAGAAAUUGACCUCAUGAUCUCUCUUACUGUAUAUUAUUAAAUUAAUUAUAUGUUUUCUGAAGCAUGCAACAUUCUGAAGUUCAAUUUUUUUUCUUUGAGAAAUUAGAACAUUCAUUCUGAACUUCAAAAAAUUGUAUCUACAAAAUUUCAAAGAGCUAUCAGCUACAUAUGAUGGACUGGUAGAGAAAAAAAAACAGUGAUGGCAUAGGGAAAAACAAAUCAUAUUGACUUGAAUUUUUUUGUGUAGCAUUUGGAGGACAAGAAUGAAUUAGUUGCCCAAGAAGAUUUGAUGUUCUCAUUUCUAAUUAUCUUGAUCCGAUUGUAUGUAUGAUAGUGCAAGAAGUUGUCACUCAACUACUUACCGUAUGACGAAUCUGGAAGCGAACUAUACAAGAAAGAAGGAUCUAAAAGAAGAAAAUCUAGAAGGCAUUAAAAUGAUGUUUAUCCCUUAUCAAAUAAUGAUAUAAGUAAUAUUCGCCGCUCAAAGGCAAAGGAUAUGCUUCCAGCAAUUUGGUUCAUCUUCAGUAGGAACGGAAGUGAUGUGGCUGUCCAAUAUCUUGAAGACUACAGGUUACUAGAUGAGUGUGAGACAAGUGAAGUUGAACUGCCACUCAAUAGGUGUCGUAUUCAAUACCCCAAUAUUGUACGUGUAUCUGUAUUGAAAUGCAUCUAUCAAGGAGUGGCUUCAUAUGUGAUGAACUACAAAGGAUCACUUCCAUUGGAGAGCAACCCAUACCAAGGGCGGCACAUGCUGCUACAUACAGUUGUGUGAACUAUGGUUGUUAUUCAGGGUGGAAUUGGUCCAACUUGUUUGUCAGCUGAGGGUCUUCAUGUUCUGGACCUUAACAAAGACAAUGAUGGCAUUGUUUAGCACCUGUGGAGUAAUGUCUGCAGUAACAAUGAUGGCAUUGUUUAGCACCUGUGGAGUAAUGUCUGCAGUUAUCAUUUUGGAAGUGUAGGAAUAUGUAGGUGAUCAAAUUUCAAUUGUUUACACAAGUAAACUCGAUCUAAUGAAGUGAAUGAUAGAGUUUUUGAACUAUUGUUAUGCUUGAGUACAUUUGGUUGUAUGGAACUUAUUGCUAGUGCAAAUCAUUAAGACAUUGAAUUCUAA